GACCAUAACAACUACUUAGGUAGAUCAUCAUCCUGAGAUAAACACAAUCGUGACCGACAUCGUGACCUAUCAUCGAAUAUGCCCCCGUUAGAGGAGAAACGUUGUAGAAUUUGCCAGAAAGUAUUCUGUUGCGUGGAUUGUCGAAAGGCGCAUCAAACAAAACGACAUUCCGAGCUGAAUCACGACUGUCCAAUAUGUAUGGUUCAGAAAUUAGCUCUACCGAAGUGCUAUGAAAACUCGGAAUUAUUGUAUCAUAUAGCCAUCACUCAUCUACCACUGAUAUGUACGCUUUGUGGUGAAGAAUACAAGAAGUACAAAGACUUGGUGCAAGCUGAAAAGUGCACCUGGUGGAUGGAGCGUAGCCAACAUCUACUCCGUCGAAGUAUUCCAUUUCCAAAGUCAUUACCAGUAUUGGAUACACCGUCUCCAUUAAACGACAUUCAGAAACAUUCCGAAUCGGAUAUAAAGAGACUAUCCGUUGAUAACGAACGCAAUCGUGGCUUUGGUAACUUCACCUCUCCUCCAGAGCUAUCGAGGAACACUAGUACACCUAUGCACAUAGCUUGUGCAAACAAAACUAAUUAUCCACAAUUUAAGACUCCUAAUGUACCAAACUUUUCUCUAAAAACGCCGAAUACGCAGACUCCAGCAUCUUCCAUGUCUUCAACUUACUACGACGCAUAUUCUUUACCUACAAGAGACGAUCUGGAGAAAGACGACACGAAAGGGACUACUCGUAGUGCUUAUCUCACCGGUCUUUCUUCGCUGUCGAAGUCACAAUUAUUGGAUGACAAUUUUAAGUUGUUGGACAUAAUCCGAACUCCUAGUGCCUGUCAUAACAGUGAAUAUCAAAAGAGCAGUGCUACCAGAAAAUUGGAAGUAAUGAGGGAAGCAGAAGAGCCAAACCUUUCCGAAGCUGACAUGGAACUAACCGAGAUUCAAGGAGCCAUCAUAGAUUCCAAUCCGACGGACGAAGAGUCCAGUGAGUCCCUAUCAAAAAUCAGUCGUAUAAGCGAACGCAGGGAAUCCAUUAAAAAAGUCCGUUUCUCUGAUCAAUUUCUUGCCAAAACAGAGACCAGUAGCAGCGUCGGAUAUAAUGUAACUGAAAAUGAAAUAUUCUUUGAGGCCAGAGAGUCAAUUUCAGAGAUAGCUGUUGGAAACCAAGAAGAAAACCCGCCGCAGGAGGACGUUAACGUGAAAAGUAAAGGAGAUAGCAACGCGGACGCGAAAACCACUGAAAAUCUGAGCAACGGCAAUGCGGCUCAUCCAAUUUCUUGUCGGUCUGGACAAUCACGGGUCGUCAUGAUGUUAUUGUUGGAGAACAAUGGUAGCUUAAACACCACGGAUUUGGUUCCGUUGAUUGACUCCAGUCUUAAAAAGUUGGAGCAGACUGCGGCGAUUGAGUUAAAUGCUAUGAAUCGGACGGAUGCGACUUCGUCGAAACAUAUGAGGACCAUUACCUCGUCAGACCGCUACGUUAGCGUUUCUGCCGUAGAGAGAACUACGGGCCACAAUUCCGCGUUAUCAAUGUUCGGAAUCCCUAGGAUAUUAUCAACGUCGAACGAGGAAACAGGCUCCAAAGGAAUAUUCUCGGCUGUGGCACGUGCAGUCAAGUGUGCAAUAAAAAAUCUAUCCGGUUCCAGUGUACCGUCGAGCGCUUCGAGGAGAACGGCUGUGCAAAAUGAAAAUGCCGAUCCAGCGUCGUCUAUUUCAUUACCAUCGACUUCUCUUGGAAACGUUUUGACCGACGCCACCUCAUCCGUCCUUAACCGACCCGGAAAGAGAUCCAGGGAGCUUAUCGAAAGCCCACCUGCAAGGUCCUCCGCAAAUUUAGGUCCUCAGUACGAAACUACAAACAGUCCUGCUACGAAAAAACACCGUACUUGGGUUAAAAUCAAAUGUAGAGAACCCAUCGCAAGAAUGAGAGGUAAUCCUUCGGAGAACGAUCAAGCGGCGAAUCCAGUCUCGACGAAAAGUGCAUCUUCCGAAACUCAAAGCUUUCAACAGGGACCUCUUAAAGUUGCAGACCCUCUACUUCCGAUACCACCUCGAGCGCAUCAAUCUACGCAGACUGAGUGAUAGAUUCGCAUACCUUAAAUUAAUCUAUACUAGUCGACAGGUUUUAAUUUAAGUUUAGUAUGUUAUUAAAAUUCGUAAUCGCUUAGCACGGCCCCACAUAUUUAUCAUUUUUCAUAGAGUAAUUCGUUUGUAACUAGUAACGCAAUAUGUGUUUCGGUAUAAAAGCACUACAGAUAGGAUCAAGUAUUUGUUAACACUAAAAAAGAGUUACGUUUAUCAACAUUUUUAAUGUAUUUGAUAAUUUGGAGCGAGACUGCGUAUACCGUUCUUCAACUAUCUAAUACGAGGUGGUUCCUUAGCGUAAUCUUAAUAAAAGGUCGAUUGAAAUCAAUUGCGAUUAGAGGGAGUUAAUCGGGCCUUUUACAUUACGAGGUUCAACAUCCUCUCCUCGCAUUUAUUUUUGUCAAUCAUUUACCACUGGAUUAUUCAAAUUUUAUUCCGAAGCUGCUUCGUCCCGCUUAAAUACAGAUUAUUAUAUUAAUAUCUCUGUGAUUGAAAAUCGCAUCGGUUCGUAUCGUGAAAAAUAGAAUUCUGUAAACAGCUCAGUGAAUCCAACUUUUAUCGCACAGCGAACUCGGCAUAUCCCACUCGGCCGACAAGGAAUUCGUUGGCGAGCUUAACGUCAUCAUCAAUACAAUUACCAUCUUUUUACGCGGUUACAAAUUUAAGGUGUACUAUUUUUUCUCACUUUUCCAAAUUGUAAAUGGCUAUUGUUACCGUUAUACAAGUACGAACGGCAAUGUCAUACGUACAUUACUAACUUCCUUCAUAAAACAGGUUCAAGGAUUCGUCCUUUGGUAGAUUAUGAGAGUACGCUUCACAUUCAAUGCGCGUUAUUGAAACAAUGGUGACAUCGCAAUUGGUGUCAUUGACGACGCGACGUAUUUGGUGUGGUCAAUUCUUUAAUGGAAUUGCGCGAUAAUACUUGGAGCAUAUCAAAUUCUAAUUUGUUCGUCGAUACUUAUUAUUCGCUGCGACUGAAAAAUAUUUCCCUUAAAUGUAAAUAGAAGAUGUAAGGUGCAAAAUUAAUUUAAGUAGAUGCGCAUCGAAGGCGAGUUUAGAAGGAAUUUUGGCAAAGCAGACUUUUCGAAAUCGAGCGGCAAUGUGCGUGCAAUGUCGGUUAAUAAAGUAAAUGUAAAUAAACAAUGUAAAGUACGAAAUUGGUCCUAGUAGAUGCGCCUCGAAUGCGAGUUUAGAAGGAAUUUCGGGAAAGCAGACUUUUCGAAAUCGAGCGGCAACGCGCGUGCAAAGUCGGCUAUCGGUGAAAUGCCUGAGAACAAAGCCAACGUGGGGGGGCUUCGUUUUUUUACUCGUUCCGGUUCGAAAGGAACCGUCCACCAAUCGUGUUCUCAAUAGAAGAUGAUUUACCGAGGUACACCAGUAGUUUGUCUGGUUCGUGCGAUCGAGCGAGUCGACGUGGAAUCGUCACGCCGAUUAGAUCCUAUCCGAUCGAAGGUAUGAUCUCUCAUUUCUAUUCCUUCACUGAGUACUUCCUAGCUCUUGAUAACUUGUAAUCAUUACAAAAUAUGCCAUAUUCAAGUAAGCCCACGUACCCAGUUGUAUAUAAUUGAAAUGUUCCCCUCCCAGAGAAUUUGAAAAUAAGGAGCGUUAUCUCGCUGCAAAGAGUCAUACGUCUGAACCAGACACUGAUUACGAUCGACAUUUUUUUCUUUGACCGAAAAUUCCUUGACUUACAACCAAUACGUCCUCGAUCGAACUUCACCUAAAUUUUUCUGCCGCUAUUUUGAAAAGAACGCUUACCAAAUUGGUCUCAAGAUAAGGAAAUCAAUGGCAUAAAUAAUAGCGGAUAGGAAAUAGAUAAGCAAAUUAAUGGAUGUAAAUUCUACGUAUGUAUACGAAAGAAAACCGGGAUUUAAUUGUAAGACGGUAUACGAAGACAGAGUGAAUAAAUCGGAAUUUCAAACUUUAUAUUUAGUUAAGUACCGUGUCUAGAGAUUAACGCAAGAGAUACACGUUUCCUUGACUACGUACAUAUGUAUACUCGGGCUCAUUAUACACACGUAAAUAGUUAUCGGGUAUGUAAGUUCGAAUCUUGGAGUGUAAGAACUCGAGUGGCCUUCCAAGAGUCGGUCGAUGAAUCGGUAACCACGCGCUUCCAUGAGUACGUACAAGUAACGAGUUGGAGUGCAGUAUUUGUUUGAAACCGGUAGAGAGAAGUCAUAUAUUGUGAAGUGUUAGAUACAAUAAAUGACACGGUGAUACGUGUGCGUGCCCCUAAACGUUUCCGUGACACCUGAUUAUCGCGAUAGAAAUUCAACGCGAGAUAAGUGGAAUCGCUCUUAGAUUUAUCAAUUAAGUCGACCUCUUAUCGCGGUGAAAAUUUAUUCCGUUUUUCCUACUUGCCCGCACUGCAAACGCGUGUGUAUGCUUCAAAGUUGAUAGUUCCGUUUUUCAAAAUAGUUGUAAUUGAAUACAAAUAAGGCAAGACUAAGAAAUGGCACCACGCUGUUAUUUCCGAUUACCCAUCCGUGACCAGUGGAUAUGUAAUUUGUUAUUUGCCCCAACGUUGAUGGCGAGUCCAGAUAUUAAGUUUCGUUGGUAAGAUGUGACAAUAAGACACGAUGCGAUUAAACGCAUUCCUCGAUCAGCUGAUAAAACGAUAUUCUCCCCGCCGUCAAAGAUUGUCAAUUGAUACAAAUUAAAAGACACUGGAUUAACACCGACGUGAAACAUUAAAAUGGGCCAUUAAUCUUAACAAUUGCUGAUAACCGGUAUUUAAAUGUUACUUUUAUCCGCCUUUUUCCGUCUUCGCCUCGGCUACUCUUUCUCAUUUUUCCGGCGAUUAUGUGCGAUGGAGAAUAUAUCAGAUAUCUCGAUAUAUUGUAAAUUGCUACCUGCAAUAAAUUCGGAGAAUGGGACAAGUAA
RNAcentral lists this unclassified non-coding RNA (4965 nucleotides) under Orussus abietinus. Its description in RNAcentral is "uncharacterized LOC105699685, transcript variant X1". Lineage: Eukaryota; Metazoa; Arthropoda; Insecta; Hymenoptera; Orussidae. The record is from RNAcentral.